GAUGAACGCUGGCGGCGUGCCUAAUACAUGCAAGUCGAGCGAACGGUCGAGAAGCUUGCUUCUCUGACGUUAGCGGCGGACGGGUGAGUAAUACGUGGAUAACCUAUCUAUAAGACUGGGAUAACUUCGGGAAACCGGUACUAAUUCCUGUAUUUAUUUUCAACCGUAUGGUUUAAAAACGACAGACGGUAUUGCUGUCACUUAUAGAUGGUUCCGCGCUGCAUUAGUUAGUUGUUAAGGUAACGGUUUACCAAGGCAACGAUGCAUAGCCGAUCUGAGAGGGUGAGCGGCCACACUAGAACUGAGACACGGUCCAGACUACUACGGGAGGCAGCGGUGGGGAGUCGUCCGCAAUGGGCGAAAGCCUGACGGAGCAACGCCACGUGGGUGAUAAGGGUCUUCGGAUCGUAAAACUCUAUUAUUAGGGAAGAACGAAUAUGUAAGUAACGGUGCACAAGUUGACGGUACCUAAUCAGAAAGCCACGGCUAACUACGUG
Molecule: ribosomal RNA, 497 nt
Filed under: uncultured bacterium
Lineage: Bacteria
Description: partial 16S ribosomal RNA
Rfam family: Bacterial small subunit ribosomal RNA
Source: RNAcentral